RNAcentral lists this small nucleolar RNA (94 nucleotides) under Nannospalax galili (Upper Galilee mountains blind mole rat). RNAcentral's name for it is "Small nucleolar RNA SNORD116 (ENSNGAG00000005184.1)". It matches the Rfam family "Small nucleolar RNA SNORD116". From Rfam's summary of the family: HBII-85 is a member of the C/D class of snoRNAs, which contain the C (UGAUGA) and D (CUGA) box motifs. HBII-85 is encoded in a tandemly repeated array with another C/D snoRNA, HBII-52, in the Prader-Willi syndrome (PWS) region of chromosome 15. Lineage: Eukaryota; Metazoa; Chordata; Mammalia; Rodentia; Spalacidae. The record is from Rfam by way of RNAcentral.
GGAUCGAUGAUGAUUCCAAGUCAAACAUUCCUUCGAAAAGCUGAAUAAAAUGAUUGAAAACUCCCUACCAUUUCUCUCAUCAUAAUUGAGGUCC